RNA transcript from Camponotus floridanus (Florida carpenter ant), 4222 nucleotides. RefSeq lists it as uncharacterized. The record is from RefSeq and is a predicted model, not a curated record. The transcript is spliced from 15 exons. NCBI's taxonomy places the organism in Eukaryota, Metazoa, Arthropoda, Insecta, Hymenoptera, Formicidae.
UGCUCCAUCUUAUCUUAUUGAGAUCAAAAUUGCGGUACUUUGUUAAUCUAGUGACUUUAGGUGGAAUGAGUUCUUAAGAUGAUCAUAAAUGAGACCGGACUAUGAAUGCCGGCCAAAGAACGAGACAGGUCACUGUCGUGAUUGGUUACCUAUCAGUCCGCGCAUGUGCAGUUUAUUUUUACCUACGCUAAAAUUGCCAGAGUUGCGCUACUGUAUAUAUUGAGGUUAGGAAGUACGGAGACGAGAGCAUGUGGAGAUACUCUUUUUUUGUGAUUAAAAUUAACCAUAAAAGUUCAUUAUAAAAAUGAAGAUGAAGAAAAUAAAUCAAGUGACUCUUAAAUCAUCUAAAGGAAGAAAGUUAGCAAGUGCUAAGAGAAAGAAAAGAGAUUUAAGCAAAAUAACUACAGAAGAAUUUCUUGAACAAAAUUUUGAAGGUGAUAGUGAUACAGACAGUGAUAAUGAUAACAGUAAUAAAAAUAUAGGUGAUGAAAACUAUGAGCACAUUGAAAGUGAUAGUGGUGAAAGUAACUUGGAUCCUGUAACACAUAAAAAAUCAUUGAUGAAACUGAAAGAUACUGAUCCUGAAUUUUAUAAAUAUUUAAAAGAGAAUGACAAAAAUUUAUUGGAUUUUAAAAUAUCAGAUAAUGAAGAUGAUAAUUCUUCAAUAAGUGACAAUGAUAAUAGACAUAUCCCUGAUGAAAAUUUAGAAAUUGCGAGCGAUGACAGUGAUUUCCAGCCAGAGGAAGUUGAAAAUGAUUCCAAGAAAAUCACCAUGCAAUUAUUAAAAACUUGGCAACAAGAAAUACAAACAGACAAAUCAUUAGUUAGUAUUAAACGUGCUGUAGAAGCCUUCCAUGCAGCUUUGAAUAGUGUUGCAGUAUCAUCUGAUACAAAUACACAAUAUAAAGUAGAAGGAAGCGCAAUAUUUAAUGGUGUGAUGCAACUGUGUAUAUUGCACUUACCUGAUGCAUUUAAGCGUUUUUUAAAGUUGGAUCCAAAAUCACAGGAAGCAUGUAAAUCUAAAAGAUUUGGAAAAAUACGGGGAAUCUUAAAAUUGUAUUUAUCAGAUUUACUUAUAUUAUUACAAAGUGUAACAUCACCUAGUAUUCUGCAAGUGCUUCUAAAGCACCUUCGCCAAAUGUUACCUUACAUGCAAUCAUUCUCGUCUUUGACUAAACCAUUGUUAAGAAUUUUGUUAAAAUUCUGGUCAACUGGAGAAGAAAUUGUUCGUGUUGUAGCUUUUAUAAAUAUUUUACGUAUUGCGACAAGUUACAAAGAUUCUACACUUGAGAAGUUACUAAAAACCAUGUAUAUAAAAUAUGUUCAGAAUACAAAAUUCGUAUCACCCAACACAUUACCAGGAAUAAAUUUUAUGAGGCAUUCUUUGGUUGAAAUUUACUUAUUUGAUCAUAAUCUUUCAUAUAGCCAUGCCUUUUUGUAUAUCAGACAAUUAGCAAUUCAUUUAAGAAAUGCUAUAACAUUAAAGAAAAAGGAAAAUUUUCAAGCUGUAUAUAACUGGCAGUAUAUUAAUUCUUUGCACUUUUGGACAGAAUUAAUAACAAAGUUGAAAAAUAAUUCAAUAUUACGGUCUUUAUUGUAUCCAUUAGUCCAGAUUAUUAUUGGAACAAUAAAAGUCUGUCCAACUGUACAAUAUUAUCCAUUGCGAUUCCAUUGUAUAAAUAUGUUAAUAACAAUCUCCAAGGAGACAGGAACUUUUAUACCCAUCUUGCCAUUCCUUCUUGAGAUCUUAGAUUCUUAUGAUUUUAAUAAAAAGCAUAAGACAGUUUCUAUGAAACCGAUACCUUUUAUCUGUAUAUUGAGGAUGUCUAAAUCGCAAUUGAUGGAAAAUGGUUUCAAGGAUAGUGUUAUUGGAACCAUUUAUCAACUUAUACUGCAAUAUGCUGCAAAUGAAAGUUAUAAAGUAUAUUUCCCUGAUAUGUGUAUACCCUGCAUAAUACAAUUAAAGGCGUUUCUAAAGAAAUGCCAUGUGGCAGCUUAUUGCAAAAAGAUGAAACAGCUUUUAACUAUGAUCGAAGAAAAUAGAAAAUACAUUGAAAAUGAGCGCGCUAAACUAACGAUUGAUUUAAAAAAUACAGUGGAAAUAACAAAUUGGGAAAAUAGGAUGAAAACUGGCACAGCAAUAGCUAAAUUCUAUGCUUCUUGGAUUAAAUUUCACGAAUCACAACAACUUAAACUUCUCAAUAAGACCGAAGAAGAAUUAAACAUACCUGUUGUGAGAAAAUUGAAGAAACGGACACUUGAUGAACAGAACACAGAGGAUAGUGAAGAAGAGAGCGAACUUGAAUUUCGAAUAAAAGGAACGGAAACUGAACCGGAGACAGAAAUGUCAUCUAAUAAGACGAAAAAACUCAUAAAGAAGAAGAAGAAGAAGAUAAUUAGUAAUAUCGAUGAUGAUUUGCCGAAGGAAAACACAGAUAUUGUUCAAGAUAUAAGUGAUUGGGAUUAAAAGUAGGUGUAAGAUUACUUCGAGUUAAUAAUUGUAUGUAUAAACAAACAAUGCAUAACGUGUUCGUUUAUAUUCUUAAAUGCAUUAUAAGUUUUUUUAAUUUCUUGUUCUAUCUUGCUAAUAUCUCACAUUUAAUAAUUAUUAUAGCAGUUUUGAAAUAAUCUAUGCAUGCUUGUCUGAUUUUGUUCUAAUUUUAUUUUUGAUCCUCGGAGGCGAAUAUUGCAAAGAAAACAUAUAAUUAUUAAUUCGAAAACAUCCGAAAAAUAAAUAUUGUAUUUAAAACAUUUACAAUUCAAUAUUUUGUAGUAAUUGCAAAGCAAUAACAACAUUUAUGUAUGAUGCUAUUUGAUCCAUUAUCGUGUACGCUGCAACGACGUUGUAUCGUAACAGACAACCGUCGUUGGCUCGACUCGAGUCUUGAGGUGUCGCUUUCUGAUGGUCUAUUUUUACCGAAAGGCGUCUCAAGCCAGUCGACAAGAAGGCGCUGUAUAGCGACGGUUUGGGCGCUAUUAUAAAGCAUCGUGUGUGCCGGCUGUGUAUUUGUAAUUCAUCGCAUGUAGGUGCGAAUCCGACCGACGAGCUCGACCAUCUCGGACGGAUCUUCGCAGCAAAGAGAGAAGUCGCGAGGUAUACACUGUCGAUACUAACAUCGGUGUAGAGCUGUAAAGAGACACGAACCUUCGCCACCACGGAAGUGACACUUCUCUCGCCAACCGAUCCGUUCCGGAAGAUAUCCAUUCACGUAUGUAGGCGAAGCGAGCGAUAAAUGAAUCAAUACCACACCUGUCGGCCAAUAUAUUUUCUCUGGCAAAAGUGUCUCUGUUGGAGAUGCGAAAUAUAUCUGUAGAAAAUCCAAUGAUUCGCGUUGCAGUUUGCUCGAUAUAAAAAUAAAUUUUGUUUCUCUUUCUAUCUCUCUUUCUCGCUUUUCUUCUCUGUUCUAUCAAUGAAUCCGUUGGCUCUUGAGAGUCGCGGUGGCGGCGGUGGUGAUGACUUCUGGUCCACUGCCUCUUGUGUUUAAAUGAUCAGUGUGCCAGUGAAUAUUUUGCAAGAUGCAAGAUUCGCUUCUCGUAGCGAGGGAGCCCUCGUCGUGGAUUUAAGCGGACCACCUUCGGCAAAGUGUGUUGGCCGAAGUGUCGCGCAUUACGUAAAGCUACAGGAAAAAUAAAACGCGAGCAAGGAAGGAAAACAAAGUGUGGGCGAAGAAGGGACACGAUUAACCCUCUCCUUGUGUGUGUGUGUAUACGUCGCGAUGAGGAGAUCAUCGUUUGAUAAGGCUCGUUGUACCACUGCCAAUACCGCGACGCGGAAUUAAUUGGCCGCUUGGAAGGGAACCAAUUCUCGUCGUCGAAAAAGCUCUGCCAGGUUCCACGGCACAUCGGGCCGAGGCAGAAUCUCGCGUUUUUCUCUCGCACAUCUCGUACGAUCAGUCAGUUAUCUGAAUAAAACUUGAAAACUCAAGGCAUUAAAAUAUAAAAAAGACUUUCAAAGGAUUAUAUAGGAUUGAAUGCAUGAGAGAUACAGCUGCGUCACAUUUUGUUUCGAAAAUUCUGCCAUUCACCAUUUUACAAACACGUUAACGCCAAGCGCAACAUUCUGAGCAACACGUCGUACGGCUUCACCUGUACCAAGGAUGCCGAGUACAAGUGCAGCGUGAAAUACAGUGGAGCUUCCUUGCAGGAGAAUUAUUUGCAACGUAGUGUAUCCGCGGACAAUGUUGUAAUUCGUUCGCGCGGUUACAAACCAUCCGACAGACAC